RNAcentral lists this long non-coding RNA (3699 nucleotides) under Oncorhynchus mykiss (rainbow trout). RNAcentral describes it as "lncRNA (ENSOMYG00000071650.1)". The record is from RNAcentral. Lineage: Eukaryota; Metazoa; Chordata; Actinopteri; Salmoniformes; Salmonidae.
AUGCCUCCGGGGGUUAAUGCCCCCUGGGUUCCCCCUCCCAACACCCAGCCCCACUCGCUGGGUCCCCCGCCCCUCCUACCCUCCGGACCCCCCCUCUCCAAGGAGGACUUCUACAGACAGAGGAGACUCCAACAGGAACAGGUAACGUCCAAGCUGGAUGAGUUCACUAAAGACUUUGCCAAAGAGCUGAUGGAAUACAGACCUGCUCCCAAGAGACGGAGACGCUCCUACUCCAGGUCUCGUUCCUACAGCCGUUCUCCGUUCAGCCGUUCCCCCUACUCCCGAUCUCCUCGCUCCCGCUCCAGGUCUUACUCGUACACCCCCAGCCGCUCCCGCUCCCGUUCCAGGUCUUACGGACGCUCCCCCUUCUCCAGACGCAACGGAGGCCGGGGAGGACGCAGCCGCUCCUACGGCCGCUCGCCACGGUCCCGCUCACGCUCCCGUUCCUACGGCUACCGUCGCUCCGGUUCUCCUCGCUCCCCACCGCCUUACCGAGGUGGUGGUGGUGGUGGUGGUGGGGGCUGGGAAGGAGGAGACGGAGCUGAAGGAGGAGGAGGAGGGGGGUAUCGGCCCAGGUCUCGCUCCCCGGGGGGCUACAGGAGGAGCAGGAGUCCUGGAGGGGUUAGAGGUCACCAUAAGCCCCCACCUCGAGAGCCGGCUCCUUACGAGCCUAAAGGCGGACCUGACCUGUCUCCCGGGGGCAGGGAGCGCUGGGAGAGAGACAGCUACAGACAGUGGGAGAAAGAGUACAGGGACUGGUACAACAAGUACUACAAAGACUACAGUACCCAGCAUGCCUCGGUGCACCACCGCGGUGGCCGGGGCAGCAGAGAGAGGGACCGCCUCACCCCUCCUCCCAGAGACUACUCCCCCCAGGGGCGGGUGAGGAGGGGUGAGAGAGGGGGACCUCCCGGACCCCACAGAACUCACCACGCCUUGUCCGCUCUGCCCUCUGCCUCCGUCAGGGGGGGCGGAAGUAAGGAACGCACGCAGGGGGGAACCAAAACGUCAGAGGGCGGAACUAAAACUCUGAAAGGGAAGAAACUGAAGAAAAAGAAGAACGGGGAGGAGCUGGAUUCAGCCGACCAAUCGCUGGACAGGGGAGACGCCACACCCGUCAGGGACGAGCCAAUGGAUGAUCUCCACACCCUGACCCCUAGCAAAGCCCCACCCACCUCCACCAAGGUCUCGACCAAUAAGGCAGCGCUGCUGUCCGGUAAAACCCCUCCCACCUCGUCCGGCCAAUCAGAGAAGAGCAGGAAGGAGAAGGGGGGUAAGGUGAAAGUAAAGACGGAGGGAAAGGUGAAAGGAGAGAAGGUUAAGAGAAAGACGGGAGGAGAGGCGACGGUCACAGCCUCUAAGAACAAAGAGUCUUCAGCCGCUAAACCAACCAAAGCAUCCAAACCAGUCAAACCAGACGAGCCAAUCAAGAGAGAGAAGGGGCGGAGCACCCCUACUGUUCGAGGAGGUUUGGCUAAACUCCCCCUGCCCCGCCCCCUCCCACCUCACCCCCACGACCUCCCUAAACACCUGGGCGACGCCCGCGGGGGAAGGAGAGAUCCCAUUCACAGUGUCGGGGUACGCCCCCCUGGUCGCCCCCUCCAGCCUGCACCUCCCUCCCCAGCGGAGAAGAGGAGGAGAGUGGAAGAGAGGGAAAGGGGGAGGGGGAUGGACAGGGGGAUGGGGGGGCCCCCAGCUAAGCUCCGCCGAGCCGAGGGUCCGUACCUCCAGAGAGGACUUCCUGCCAAGCCUUCCCUCCUCCUGAACCUGGCAUGCAGAGAGUCGGGUAGAGGAGAGGGUCUGCUCCCCAUCCCUGGUUCCUCACAGACAGGGAGGCUAGACCGUUUCCAUCCCAUCUCCAUCUCCAUCCCUGGUUCCUCCAUGGACCUGGGGAGAGAGGGGAGAGGCGACGGGCUGCUGCCCAUCCCAGGGAGCUCUGAGGCGGGCAGAAGAGAGAGUGACAGGGGGUCUAUCUGGCCUCUCAUGGGUCUGCAGGUCAAACCCUUCCCCCAGAGGAGAAUCAAACUGAACAGAGACCUGGGGAGGAACAGCAGUAUGGCCCGCCCAGAGGAGAGACCAGCUCCAGCUGCUAAUAUCACCACUACUAUCACCUCUACUGGAGAGAGACCUGCUGGUCCUGAGAGAGCAGAGAGGGAUGGAGGGACAGAGAGGGUGGCGGUGAUGGUGGAGCGGAGGUUGUCUGGCGAGAGGUCAGAGGUCAGGUCUGUUAGGUCCGAGAGGCCGUCGUCAGGGGAACGUUUGCCGGAGAGAGGAGGAGGAGGAAGGUCAGUCUCUCUAGACCGCAUGACCAUCGCGGAACGCUCGGCCAUCGCUAAGAAACCUGAUGUCACCGGGGAGAGAACAGAGAGCGGGUACACGCCGCCCGCUGAGAGAGAGAGACCAGCUGAGAGCUCCAAGGAGAGAGAGAGACCAGCUGAGAGCUCCAAGGAGAGAGAGAGACCAGCUGAGAGCUCCAAGGAGAGAGAGAGACCAGCUGAGAGCUCCAAGGAGAGAGGGAGACCAGCGUCAGCCAAGACGGACAGGUCAUCAUCCAGGGAGAAGUCAGCCACCAGGGAACAGAAAGGAGAGAAGACCUCGUCCUCCGUAGACAGACCUGCCUCUACAGGGGAGCGAGCGGCAGGGUCCCAGAGAGAGACUGUAGCUGAAGACAGAGCAAUAGCAACAGCAGUGGUGGUGGUGAAGGAGGGUUCUGGGAAGACCAGAAAGAUCAGCAGAAAGAGUUCUGAGCCCACGACCCACCACUCAUCAGACCACUCUGUCACUUCAACUGGCAGCAGCAGGUCUGAGCCGAGCCAGAGCCAGGGUGCUGUGUCAAAACCCCGGGACCUACAGACCCAGAGGAGACCCAGUCCCGUCCAGUUCCCCAGCCCAGGCAGGGAGAGGAGGGACCGUGGGACCGGAGGAGUCCUCAUCCAGCCUCCACCCCGGUCCAAGUGGGAGAGAGAGGAGGAGGAGGAAGAGGAGCAGCACUCAGCGUCCAGGGAGAAUGGGGCGUUGGCGGUUUCCUCCUCCGUGCCCAGAGACGCUCUGAGGAGAGAAGUCUCACCAGCACCGCCUAGUGGCCAAGGCAGGGAGGUGCAGGGUAGUGUCUCUAAAACAGCCAACACAGAGGGGAGGAGAGGGAGGGAGGAGGGGACUAGAAGGAGGGAGGAAGGCAGAGGCCUUAAAAAGGGUCAGGUGAACUUUAGAAAACCAGCUAAGACCGAAUCCAGAGGAGUGAAGGAGGAAGGAAGAGGAGGGGUAGGGAGGGAGGAGAGUCGAGGGGCGGGGCCAGAGCCAAGGCGACAGCGUCUGUGUUCCGACCUGGGUAGAGAGACGGACGAGGCAGCCUUCGUCCCCGACUACAGCGAAGGGGAGGGGUCAGACGGGGAGCGAGGCAGUGGCCUGAGCCAUAGCCCCUCACACAACACCCAGAGCCCCGCCUCCCAGAGCCCCGGCGGCUCCCCUAGCAACCACAGCGGCUCCACGGCGACGGACAAGAAGAAGAAGAAGAAACACAAGAAACAUAAAAAACACAAGAAGCACAAGAAGCAUUCUGCCGACGUUGAGCCUCCCGUCGAAGGAAGGAAGGAACACAAACACAAGAACAAGAAGAAGAAGCACAGGAAGAAUAAAGAGGAAGAGGGAGGAGGAGGAGAGGCAGAGGAGAAGACUGGGCAGGAGUCAGCCAACAUCUGA